GAAGAAUACCAUCUAGGAACCAGGAAGCAGGCCCUCACCAGACACAAACCGCAGGAGCUCCCUCAGCCCAUAUGCAGAAGAGCCCAAAAGUACAGGGAGAAUUAACACCAUAGGGACAAACCUCAACCAAAGAUAUAACGGAUAAGGCAGGAGAUGAACAAAGCGUGUGGGUGCCCUCAAGAUGUGUAUGACUAUGGAACAGGAGACUGGAGGGACCCAUGGAUUCCAACCAUGGACCUGGUUCCCCCAGUAUGAGCCACAAGCCAGUUGAAUCUGAAUGCGAAGACGGAACGAGGACCAACUGGAGUCACACUGACAUCAACCCCCAUAACAUGGGGACAGAUCAAGA
This 349-nucleotide long non-coding RNA is filed under the name Pan troglodytes (chimpanzee). RNAcentral's name for it is "long non-coding RNA NONPTRT003554". Lineage: Eukaryota; Metazoa; Chordata; Mammalia; Primates; Hominidae. The record is from RNAcentral.